AAUCAACGCUGGCGGCAUGCCUAACACAUGCAAGUCGAACGCGAAAGCGGACUUCGGUCCGUGAGUAGAGUGGCAAACGGGUGAGUAACACGUGGGCGACCUGCCUUCGAGUGGGGGAUAACCUUCCGAAAGGAGGGCUAAUACCGCAUAACAUCCCGUGUUUGGAUACACGGCGAUCAAAGCCGGGGAUCGCAAGACCUGGCGCUUGAAGAGGGGCUCGCGUCCGAUUAGCUUGUUGGUGAGGUAAUGGCUCACCAAGGCUCCGAUCGGUAGCCGGCCUGAGAGGGCGGACGGCCACACUGGGACUGAGACACGGCCCAGACUCCUACGGGAGGCAGCAGUGGGGAAUUGUUCGCAAUGGGCGAAAGCCUGACGACGCAAUGCCGCGUGGAGGAUGAAGACUUUCGGGUCGUAAACUCCUUUCGACCGAGAUGAACGCCUGUCGGCCUAAUACGUCGGCGGGGUGACAGUAUCGAGGGAAGAAGCCCCGGCUAACUCCGUG
Molecule: ribosomal RNA, 502 nt
Filed under: uncultured bacterium
Lineage: Bacteria
Description: bacterial SSU rRNA
Rfam family: Bacterial small subunit ribosomal RNA
Source: RNAcentral